GCCAGCACCCUGUCAAUGCCCACAGCCCGCACCGUAGAAGGUACCUGAGGGAACAAAGUGGCAAAGAAUUCACCGGAAAAUGACAUUCGAGUACUUCACAGGAAGGGUUGUUACCUGUAGUAACAGUCUCUCGUCGCCCUCGAUGACUGCCUGGUUCCACUGGAUGGCAUCAGAGAAGGGUCAUCCAUGUGUGGGUAGAACCGUUACAACGCUGAAAGAACCCAAUGUUCCCCAUCAGCCCAGCAGAACAAGUC
Sinocyclocheilus grahami is the source of this 254-nucleotide long non-coding RNA. RefSeq lists it as uncharacterized. NCBI's taxonomy places the organism in Eukaryota, Metazoa, Chordata, Actinopteri, Cypriniformes, Cyprinidae. The record is from RefSeq and is a predicted model, not a curated record. The transcript is spliced from 3 exons.